This 2784-nucleotide ribosomal RNA is filed under the name Salmonella enterica subsp. enterica serovar Typhimurium. RNAcentral's name for it is "partial 23S ribosomal RNA". It matches the Rfam family "Bacterial large subunit ribosomal RNA". The record is from RNAcentral. Lineage: Bacteria; Pseudomonadati; Pseudomonadota; Gammaproteobacteria; Enterobacterales; Enterobacteriaceae.
UCAGAGGCGAUGAAGGGCGUGCUAAUCUGCGAUAAGCGCCGGUAAGGUGAUAUGAACCGUUAUAACCGGCGAUACCCGAAUGGGGAAACCCAGUGUGAUUCGUCACACUAUCAUUAACUGAAUCCAUAGGUUAAUGAGGCGAACCGGGGGAACUGAAACAUCUAAGUACCCCGAGGAAAAGAAAUCAACCGAGAUUCCCCCAGUAGCGGCGAGCGAACGGGGAGGAGCCCAGAGCCUGAAUCAGCAUGUGUGUUAGUGGAAGCGUCUGGAAAGGCGCGCGAUACAGGGUGACAGCCCCGUACACAAAAGCGCAUGUGCUGUGAGCUCGAUGAGUAGGGCGGGACACGUGGUAUCCUGUCUGAAUAUGGGGGGACCAUCCUCCAAGGCUAAAUACUCCUGACUGACCGAUAGUGAACCAGUACCGUGAGGGAAAGGCGAAAAGAACCCCGGCGAGGGGAGUGAAAAAGAACCUGAAACCGUGUACGUACAAGCAGUGGGAGCACAGGUUUACCUGUGUGACUGCGUACCUUUUGUAUAAUGGGUCAGCGACUUAUAUUCUGUAGCAAGGUUAACCGUAUAGGGGAGCCGGAGGGAAACCGAGUCUUAAUUGGGCGUUAAGUUGCAGGGUAUAGACCCGAAACCCGGUGAUCUAGCCAUGGGCAGGUUGAAGGUUGGGUAACACUAACUGGAGGACCGAACCGACUAAUGUUGAAAAAUUAGCGGAUGACCUGUGGCUGGGGGUGAAAGGCCAAUCAAACCGGGAGAUAGCUGGUUCUCCCCGAAAGCUAUUUAGGUAGCGCCUCGUGAAUUCAUCUCCGGGGGUAGAGCACUGUUUCGGCUAGGGGGCCAUCCCGGCUUACCAACCCGAUGCAAACUGCGAAUACCGGAGAAUGUUAUCACGGGAGACACACGGCGGGUGCUAACGUCCGUCGUGAAGAGGGAAACAACCCAGACCGCCAGCUAAGGUCCCAAAGUCAUGGUUAAGUGGGAAACGAUGUGGGAAGGCCCAGACAGCCAGGAUGUUGGCUUAGAAGCAGCCAUCAUUUAAAGAAAGCGUAAUAGCUCACUGGUCGAGUCGGCCUGCGCGGAAGAUGUAACGGGGCUAAACCAUGCACCGAAGCUGCGGCAGCGANNUGCUGGAGGUAUCAGAAGUGCGAAUGCUGACAUAAGUAACGAUAAAGCGGGUGAAAAGCCCGCUCGCCGGAAGACCAAGGGUUCCUGUCCAACGUUAAUCGGGGCAGGGUGAGUCGACCCCUAAGGCGAGGCCGAAAGGCGUAGUCGAUGGGAAACGGGUUAAUAUUCCCGUACUUGGUGUUACUGCGAAGGGGGGACGGAGAAGGCUAUGUUGGCCGGGCGACGGUUGUCCCGGUUUAAGCGUGUAGGUGUGUGUUCCAGGUAAAUCCGGUUCACUUUAACACUGAGGCGUGACGACGAGGCACUACGGUGCUGAAGCAACAAAUGCCCUGCUUCCAGGAAAAGCCUCUAAGCAUCAGGUAACAUCAAAUCGUACCCCAAACCGACACAGGUGGUCAGGUAGAGAAUACCAAGGCGCUUGAGAGAACUCGGGUGAAGGAACUAGGCAAAAUGGUGCCGUAACUUCGGGAGAAGGCACGCUGACACGUAGGUGAAGUGAUUUACUCAUGGAGCUGAAGUCAGUCGAAGAUACCAGCUGGCUGCAACUGUUUAUUAAAAACACAGCACUGUGCAAACACGAAAGUGGACGUAUACGGUGUGACGCCUGCCCGGUGCCGGAAGGUUAAUUGAUGGGGUCAGCGCAAGCGAAGCUCCUGAUCGAAGCCCCGGUAAACGGCGGCCGUAACUAUAACGGUCCUAAGGUAGCGAAAUUCCUUGUCGGGUAAGUUCCGACCUGCACGAAUGGCGUAAUGAUGGCCAGGCUGUCUCCACCCGAGACUCAGUGAAAUUGAACUCGCUGUGAAGAUGCAGUGUACCCGCGGCAAGACGGAAAGACCCCGUGAACCUUUACUAUAGCUUGACACUGAACAUUGAGCCUUGAUGUGUAGGAUAGGUGGGAGGCUUUGAAGUGUGGACGCCAGUCUGCAUGGAGCCGACCUUGAAAUACCACCCUUUAAUGUUUGAUGUUCUAACGUGGACCCGUAAUCCGGGUUGCGGACAGUGUCUGGUGGGUAGUUUGACUGGGGCGGUCUCCUCCUAAAGAGUAACGGAGGAGCACGAAGGUUGGCUAAUCCUGGUCGGACAUCAGGAGGUUAGUGCAAUGGCAUAAGCCAGCUUGACUGCGAGCGUGACGGCGCGAGCAGGUGCGAAAGCAGGUCAUAGUGAUCCGGUGGUUCUGAAUGGAAGGGCCAUCGCUCAACGGAUAAAAGGUACUCCGGGGAUAACAGGCUGAUACCGCCCAAGAGUUCAUAUCGACGGCGGUGUUUGGCACCUCGAUGUCGGCUCAUCACAUCCUGGGGCUGAAGUAGGUCCCAAGGGUAUGGCUGUUCGCCAUUUAAAGUGGUACGCGAGCUGGGUUUAGAACGUCGUGAGACAGUUCGGUCCCUAUCUGCCGUGGGCGCUGGAGAACUGAGGGGGGCUGCUCCUAGUACGAGAGGACCGGAGUGGACGCAUCACUGGUGUUCGGGUUGUCAUGCCAAUGGCACUGCCCGGUAGCUAAAUGCGGAAGAGAUAAGUGCUGAAAGCAUCUAAGCACGAAACUUGCCCCGAGAUGAGUUCUCCCUGAGACUUAGAGUCUCCUGAAGGAACGUUGAAGACGACGACGUUGAUAGGCCGGGUGUGUAAGCGCAGCGAUGCGUUGAGCUAACCGGU